Molecule: ribosomal RNA, 381 nt
Filed under: uncultured eukaryote
Lineage: Eukaryota
Description: SSU rRNA
Rfam family: Eukaryotic small subunit ribosomal RNA
Source: RNAcentral
AGCUCCAAUAGCGUAUACUAAAGUUGUUGCAGUUAAAAGCUCGUAGUUGGAUUUCUGUUAUUAAAAUCGGUCGUGUCCUCACGGAUUCUGUACCAGGUUUCUUAAUUGCAUCUUCAAGGUUCUGGUAUCUGGUAUUAAUUUAUCGGGUAUUCGGUCCUUGUCAUUUACUGUGAGCAAAAUAGAGUGUUCAAAGCAGGCUUAGGCCAUGAAUACAUUAGCAUGGAAUAAUAAGAUAGGACCUUGGUCUAUUUUGUUGGUUUACAUUCCAAGGUAAUGAUUAAUAGGGAUAGUUGGGGGUAUUUGUAUUCAAUUGUCAGAGGUGAAAUUCUUGGAUUUAUGGAAGACAAACUACUGCGAAAGCAUUUACCAAGGAUGUUUUCA